CUAGCUUUUCAAAUUUUUUCAUCCUAAAAAUAGGAGUUAAUAUCUGGCAAAAAAAAAAAAGAGUUAAUAUUCUUAGAAAACCCUUAUGAAGUUUACAUGAUUAGCCAUUCUAGUUUCUGUUAUACGCAAAAAUCACUAUGAAGACCCGGCCCAUAAAAGAAGACUAUGAUGGACUCAAGAGUGGACCAAGCCCAAGCUAGACAUGUCAGUCAGAAGAGACCACUUCAAGAAGAUUGGGCGCGCCUUAUCUUCAGGGCGCGCCAAGUUGAAGCUUACAGAGAAAGAUCGUCAUUUGAAGGGCAGAAGGGGACAUAUUUUACCUAGGGGGACGCCCUUGGGUGUGUAUAGAUCCUACUGUUAAUUUGUCGAAGACUCUACCUUGUAGUCUGAGGAGUUGCCCUCCUUGGGAGAUAGAGAAUGAAGAUUAGAGGAGGCCUUGCUCUGUAGUCUGGCGAGUUGUCCUUGUCGGGGAGCUUGUGGAACCUUCUCGAAGAUAUACCCUGAAAGGCUCUAUCUCUGUAGUCUGGCGGGUUGUCCCUGUCGGGGAGUAGAGAAGCGUCCUUGCAUUUGGGGUAAGUCUUGGGUGCUCGAGAGUCUACAAGGCCCAAGACUAGGCCUCAUCGUAUUGGGCCCCUUUCAGGAGGAAGAUAGCAGAAGGGGAAGCCUAAUCCUAUUAGGUUUAGGUUUCCUAGGCAGAAAAGAACUACGUACUGGCUUGAUCCCCUAUAAAUAUAGGGGUACGUAGGCAAAUUAGGAGGACACGAGUUGGGAGCAUCUGGAGGCAACUCGAAACCCUAAUCUCAGCCACCCCUAAAAUUUCAUCACCACCGCUCAGCCACCGUCAUAGAUCUUGAUUCCGGCCACGAACCUCGAAUUUUGUUAACUACCAAAUUCCUCCGUUAACAAAUUGGCGCUAGAAGGAGGGGCUAUUUUUUGAUUGAGGAGGACAAUCAAACCUGCAAAUAGAUCUCGGGCUUGUUACGGGUGUUGGCAAUGGCUCUGAUUUGCGGCAACAAAAGACAAGAAGUUUGUAUGCACGAGUGUAACGGAAAAGAACUUGGCGAUCGUCAUAAGCCACGUGAUAAUCAUGAUUAACCAGGCUCAUGCGGCAGAUAAGUUUUUCUUUCUUAUUUAUUUUAUUUGUAAUUUCAAUGUGUGUAUUGUCCAGGACAGAAUCAACCGGUGAACGGCAUACAAGCGACCAUCAUAGCAGAGCGAAGGUUUGUAUAUAUGGAUGAAAGCGUCGUAAAUACAUGCUAGAACAGGUCCAGCAACGUUACUCGAUGAUUUGGGAAAAGAAUAAAGAAGCACCCAGGCAUGUGACAAAACCAGUGUAAAACUUGUCUCUGGUUUGCGACCGAAGCUUCGGACAUAAAAAGCAAUCUCAUGUGCUAAAUUCGGAUUUCGUUAACUUCUCACAGAUAAGUAUUCCAUAUUCAAAUUUUAUUAUGAAAGUUUAUGCGUGCACGGAGUUUUGAUUAUAUUCAUGUGAAUCACGAAUCAGUUUUGUGAGUAAUUUUUAUUAAGCAUAUUGGUAUAAAAUCUACAAAAAGAAAUUUAUAGUUGUUAUAAUGCAUAUGCAAAAUUUAUUUUCAAUUCAUAGUUGAAUUGAUUCAACUUGAGAGUUUAUAUGUGGCUAACCUGGUUGGACUAAAAAAUAUAUUUGCUUGAAGAUUUAUAGCACAGACAGGGUUAUAUAAACUAUGUGUGCAACAUAUAGAGAUGAAGAAACAAAAUAAGAUGGGACUAAUGUGGAAGCAAGCCGCUGACAACGUACAAGCCAGAUAGUCGAAUAUACUGGGCAUUGGCUACUGGUUCUCUACAGAGACCAAUUACAGCUAGCAUGGAGCGACAAAACGAUCGGUUCCAAACCGUUGUAAAUAUAUUUAAGAGUUAAUUACAGUUUGUAACCCCUAGGAUUGCUCCAAACGCACUUAAGAUCCUGAACUAUCAAACGUGACAUAAUGCACCCUGAACUUUACAUUCUCGUGCAAGUUGUAACCCAUAGUCACUAUUCCGUCCAAAU
RNAcentral lists this long non-coding RNA (2026 nucleotides) under Daucus carota (carrot). Its description in RNAcentral is "long non-coding RNA (DCAR_LNC002551)". Lineage: Eukaryota; Viridiplantae; Streptophyta; Magnoliopsida; Apiales; Apiaceae. The record is from RNAcentral.